This is a long non-coding RNA of Mus musculus (house mouse), 455 nucleotides long. RefSeq annotates it as predicted gene, 41929. NCBI's taxonomy places the organism in Eukaryota, Metazoa, Chordata, Mammalia, Rodentia, Muridae. The transcript has 5 exons. The record is from RefSeq and is a predicted model, not a curated record.
ACUAGGAAAAGAAUCAGAGGCGGGGAGAUUCAGCCAGUGACAUGUUGCCUGAUGGUGAGCGAGCAAGCGAGUGUUGUUGAUAUAUAUCCUCAGUGUUCUGUUCUUGAAGUAUAUCCUGAAACACCACGACUGACAGCUUCCUGUCAUUGAGGCAAAGUCCUGAUCUUGUCACUCAUGCCGGAAGCCCAGGCCUGCAGGCAUUUGUCAUCCAUGCACAAGGGUGACAGGAUUACCCACUUGCUGUGCAUAAACAAGGUCUCUCUCAAGUCUCUUUCCUCUCACAGGCAGUAGAAAAUGAAGGCACCUCCAGAUCUUCACAUCUCAAACCAUGUUGCUGAACUCAUCCCAUUUGCCAGCUGAGUCCUCCCCCUAGGCGCUCCUCUGUCAGGCAGUCUGAUAUACAGCUGUUAAAAAGGAGUGAUUAUGGUUUGAGUGCACUGGUGAGUGAGGGCUCU